RNAcentral lists this ribosomal RNA (460 nucleotides) under uncultured bacterium. RNAcentral's name for it is "partial 16S ribosomal RNA". It matches the Rfam family "Bacterial small subunit ribosomal RNA", at positions 338 to 795 of the family's 1533-position model. The record is from RNAcentral.
CCUACGGGUGGCAGCAGUGAGGAAUAUUGGUCAAUGGGCGAGAGCCUGAACCAGCCAAGUCGCGUGCAGGAAGACGGUCCUAUGGAUUGUAAACCUCUUUUGUCGGGGAGCAAAAAGGCCUCGUGAGGCCACAAGUGAGAGUACCCGAAGAAAAAGCAUCGGCUAACUCCGUGCCAGCAGCCGCGGUAAUACGGAGGAUGCGAGCGUUAUUCGGAUUUAUUGGGUUUAAAGGGUGCGUAGGCGGACUGGAAAGUCACCGGGAAAAUCGCGAGGCUCAACCGCGUUCCGCCGUUGAAACUGGCGUGCUUGAGUGGGCGGGAAGUAUGCGGAAUUCGUGGUGUAGCGGUGAAAUGCUUAGAUAUGACGCAGAACCCCGAUUGCGAAGGCAGCUUGCUAAGCCAGGACUGACGCUGAUGCACGAAAGCAUGGGGAUCAAACAGGAUUAGAUACCCGUGUAGUC